Molecule: non-coding RNA, 24 nt
Filed under: Arabidopsis thaliana (thale cress)
Lineage: Eukaryota; Viridiplantae; Streptophyta; Magnoliopsida; Brassicales; Brassicaceae
Source: RNAcentral
AAGAUCCUACUUAACUUCCGAUGU